CCAGGAUUUAGAUACCCUGGUAGUCCACGCCCUAAACGAUGUCAACUAGCUGUUGGGGCCUUCGGGCCUUGGUAGCGCAGCUAACGCGUGAAGUUGACCGCCUGGGGAGUACGGUCGCAAGAUUAAAACUCAAAGGAAUUGACGGGGACCCGCACAAGCGGUGGAUGAUGUGGAUUAAUACGAUGCAACGCGAAAAACCUUACCUACCCUUGACAUGUCUGGAAUUCUGAAGAGAUUCGGAAGUGCUCGCAAGAGAACCGGAACACAGGUGCUGCAUGGCUGUCGUCAGCUCGUGUCGUGAGAUGUUGGGUUAAGUCCCGCAACGAGCGCAACCCUUGUCAUUAGUUGCUACGAAAGGGCACUCUAAUGAGACUGCCGGUGACAAACCGGAGGAAGGUGGGGAUGACGUCAAGUCCUCAUGGCCCUUAUGGGUAGGGCUUCACACGUCAUACAAUGGUCGGGACAGAGGGUCGCCAACCCGCGAGGGGGAGCCAAUCCCAGAAACCCGAUCGUAGUCCGGAUCGCAGUCUGCAACUCGACUGCGUGAAGUCGGAAUCGCUAGUAAUCGCGGAUCACGCAUGUCGCGGUGAAUACGUUCCCGGGUCUUGUACAUCAACCGCCCGUCACAUCCAUGGGAGUGGGUUUUAGCCAGAUAGUAGUUAGCCUAAUCCGUAAUGGGGGGGCGAUUAACGCACCGGUAGGAUUCAUGAGCUGGGGUAAGUC
Molecule: ribosomal RNA, 723 nt
Filed under: uncultured Pseudomonadota bacterium
Lineage: Bacteria; Pseudomonadati; Pseudomonadota
Description: bacterial SSU rRNA
Rfam family: Bacterial small subunit ribosomal RNA
Source: RNAcentral